GAUCUUUAUAUAUUAAAUAAUUUAUAAAUAUUAGUUAUAUUUUUUUUUUUAAGUUAUUAAUGUAUUAUAUUGGGGUAAUAAUAAAAUUUAAAAAAUUUUUAUUUUUUAAUUUCAAAUAUAAUUGAUUUUUUGAUCCAAUAUUAUUGAUUAUAAAAUUAAGUUACCUUAGGGAUAACAGCGUAAUGAUUUUUGAGAGUUCUUAUCAAUAAAAUAGUUUGU
RNAcentral lists this ribosomal RNA (219 nucleotides) under Psychodopygus claustrei. Its description in RNAcentral is "partial 16S ribosomal RNA". The record is from RNAcentral. Lineage: Eukaryota; Metazoa; Arthropoda; Insecta; Diptera; Psychodidae.